UCCGGUUUGUCACCGGCAGUCUCCUUAGAGUUCCCACCAUUACGUGCUGGCAACUAAGGACAAGGGUUGCGCUCGUUGCGGGACUUAACCCAACAUCUCACGACACGAGCUGACGACAGCCAUGCAGCACCUGUGUUCUGGUUCCCGAAGGCACAACCGCAUCUCUGCAGUCUUCCAGACAUGUCAAGACCAGGUAAGGUUCUUCGCGUUGCAUCGAAUUAAACCACAUACUCCACCGCUUGUGCGGGCCCCCGUCAAUUCCUUUGAGUUUCAGUCUUGCGACCGUACUCCCCAGGCGGCGAACUUAACGCGUUAGCUUCGACACUGAGCUCCGAGUUGAGCCCAACAUCCAGUUCGCAUCGUUUAGGGCGUGGACUAC
Molecule: unclassified non-coding RNA, 379 nt
Filed under: uncultured Rhodanobacteraceae bacterium
Lineage: Bacteria; Pseudomonadati; Pseudomonadota; Gammaproteobacteria; Lysobacterales; Rhodanobacteraceae
Description: contains 16S-23S intergenic spacer region
Source: RNAcentral